Cervus elaphus (red deer) is the source of this 2331-nucleotide long non-coding RNA. RefSeq lists it as uncharacterized. NCBI's taxonomy places the organism in Eukaryota, Metazoa, Chordata, Mammalia, Artiodactyla, Cervidae. The record is from RefSeq and is a predicted model, not a curated record. The transcript has 3 exons.
GGAGAGGGAGCAGAAGCCGCAAAGGCCUCCAGGGAAGCAGAGACACCAAGAGGCCCCAAGGCUGCUGGUCUGGCCAGCUGUGGCCUUUCCCCUACUCAUGGUGUGACCCUGGCUUUCAGCGUAUGCUUCCUAAACAGGAGAUUCAGGCCAGCUCUGGAGUCAUGGAUCUCCGGAACACCUGGGCUCAAUUUUUAUCUUUGCCAGUGAUCAGCAUGAUGGCCUUGAGCAAGCUACUACACCGCUCUGUGCCUCAGUUUCCUCAUCUGUAAAUUGGGGAUAGUGAUAGCCGCCAAUCUAAUAGGUCAUUGUAAUGAUCACAUACAUUAACACGUACAAGGUAUUUUAUGUACAUAUGGGCUAUAAAACCUAUAGUAGACACACGUAUGUUUUGGUGGUUGUUAUUAUUGAUCAUGCAAAUACCUAUCAACCGAAUUGGUAUUCCUGGUUAUACCACCUGAUGGGGUCUGGUGAUAAUUAAAUGUAACACCUUUACCCAGGCACAGAGCAGGCACUUAAUGCAUGGUAACUAAUGUGAUUGUUAUCAUCCUUGCGUUAUAUACAAUAUAUAAUCUUUAUAUUGUUACUGUAGCAAUGAUGAAUGGUCUCCCUCAGUCAUCCACAGUGUUGGUGACCAGUGGGUUUUGCCAUCUUCCCUCUAGAAAUCCAAACAAUUCAGAGGGAAAAGCAACCCCUGGACUCACACUUCCCAGAAAAGUCUGAGCACUGUGACAUGCCACGCGGUACCCCAGGCGCUGGAGUCCGGCCGAGGCAGCAGCAGAUAACAGGCGGGAAACAAAGUGACUACAGCAUUCGGACAGACCUCGUCAGAUCUGUCCUCCAGAAGGAUGCCCGCUCUUGCCCCAGCCUGGACUGGAGGCCUGGCGCAGACCUCUGCUGCUCACCUCCCCCUCGUCAUAGAGCAAGUGGGUGACGACUUGGAGCGUGAUGGCUUUGGUGUGAACCCAGACCUGCUCCUUCUUAAGCUACGUGACCUCAGGCAAGUGACUUUGCCUCUCUGAGCCUUCGUCUUGUUAGCGAUCAAAUGGGAUCAUCAUUCCUGGUCUUCCAGCUGUUGUGGGCCCAUCGGACGAUGAACAUGAACCCACUUAGCCAACUGUCAAGCCCUUAGAUGAGGUUGCGUAGCAGGGCUCUACCCACUGAACAGGUGGGCAAGGUGAGGCGUCUUGUGGCACAGGCCACUCAGCGCACUGAGAACCGUCAGAGAAAAGCCUCUCCUCAAGCCCCCAAGCUGCGCUUCCUCUCUCCUUUAUCCUGAACCCCAGGCCCCCGGAAGCCCCUGACAGCAGGAUGGGGCCCCAGCUCCAAGUCUGGCUUUCCCAGCUCCACCCCAGGAACCUGACACCCGGCACCCCCAGGAAUCCUUACCUGGCCAGUGGGGUCCGGGAGAGCCAUGAGUGAUCUCCCAGGACCCCUGGACCGCUGCCCCAGAGGCCAGUGAGCAGCGGGCCCCCAGCCAUCUAAAGAGCCCCUUACGAGCUCAGAGCGGGCUCAACCACAAUGAGAAGCAUAAACGUCGUGGAGGGUGGCCCACGUGGCCCAGUUUGCCUGGCACUGUCCUGGUUUUGAAAUAGAAUGUCCUGUGCCCUGAGCAGGCAGGACAGCUGCCUGGCGAUCCUAGUAUCAGAGUCCUGUGGCUAAAGCCAGGCUCUGGAGGCAGACCCCUGGGCUGGAAUCCCAGCGCUGCUACUUGCUAUGUGAUUUUAAAAAUUUAUUUACAUGUUUAUUUGGCUGCGGCUCGUGGGAGCUUCGAUCUUCCUCGCAGCUUGCCAGAUUUCUCAGUCGCGGUUGGUGAAUUCUUAGUGGCGGCUUGUGGGAUCUAGUCUCCUAACCGAGGAUCUGACCCAGCCCCCCUGCACUGGGGUCUAGUUCCCUGAAGAGAGACUGAAGCCGGGCCCCCCGCGCUGGAUCACCAGGGAGCCCCCCUGCACGUUAUCUACCUUUGCUGGGCUCCCCUGUCCCUCUCUGUGAGACGGGGGCAGUGAGCCCCAUCCCGUGGAGACCUGUGCGCUUGUCUGGCUCUCACACGUGGGAUAUUUAGCUCAGGUCUCCAGCAGCCGUUGUGAAACGUCAGCCGCUGUCCUCCUUUCAAGUUCCCGUCCUGCAGACGGGUGGGCUCGCUCACCUUGCUGAGAGCCUUCAGGGUGCAGGCCCUGCUAGAGGGGGCAUCAGAGAUGUAGGUGCCCUGGUUCCACCCUCAGCAGGGAGCUGGGGGUUGUGUGUGAAUAAUGACCACAGCCAGAAAUCAAUACACGUCAGGUCCGGAGAUGAAAACAGGCUUGAUCGUUAAGUCAUUCACUUAAAAUGGGUGAA